GAUUAUCCCAGAGAAUUGUUUAUAUCAUUAAAAGCGGGCCAAGCAUGGUUUGAACUGUGAUUGCUCCCCACAUUGGAGGAUAAACAUUCUUUCAAGACAUUUCUUUGGAAAACCCCCG
This is a non-coding RNA of Myotis lucifugus (little brown bat), 118 nucleotides long. The record is from Rfam. Lineage: Eukaryota; Metazoa; Chordata; Mammalia; Chiroptera; Vespertilionidae.